This 496-nucleotide ribosomal RNA is filed under the name uncultured bacterium. Its description in RNAcentral is "partial 16S ribosomal RNA". It matches the Rfam family "Bacterial small subunit ribosomal RNA", at positions 29 to 523 of the family's 1533-position model. The record is from RNAcentral.
AUUGAACGCUGGCGGCAUGCUUUACACAUGCAAGUCGAACGGUAGAGGGGGCAACCCCUUGAGAGUGGCGAACGGGUGAGUAAUGCAUCGGAACGUGCCCAGGCGUGGGGGAUAACGCAGCGAAAGCAGUGCUAAUACCGCAUACGAUCUCUGGAUGAAAGCGGGGGACCGAAAGGCCUCGCGCGAGUGGCAGGGCAGAUGUCAGAUUAGGUAGUUGGUGGGGUAAAGGCCUACCAAGCCACCGAUCUGUAGCUGGUCUGAGAGGACGACCAGCCACACUGGGACUGAGACACGGCCCAGACUCCUACGGGAGGCAGCAGUGGGGAAUGUUGGACAAUGGGCGCAAGCCUGAUCCAGCAAUGCCGCGUGCAGGAAGAAGGCCUUCGGGUUGUAAACUGCUUUUGUACGGAACGAAACGGUCUGGGUUAAUACCCUGGGCUAAUGACGGUACCGUAAGAAUAAGCACCGGCUAACUACGUGCCAGCAGCCGCGGUAA